UUUAAAGUCUGACCUGCUCGAUGAGGAUUUGAAUGGCCGCGGUAUAUUGACCGUGCAAAGGUAGCAUAAUAAUUUGUUUUUUAAUUGGAAGCUGGAAUGAAUGGUUGGACGAGAAAUUUACUGUCUCUUUUUAAUUUUAUUAGAAUUUUAUUUUUAAGUAAAAAAGCUUAAAUUUUUUUGAAAGACGAGAAGACCCUAUAGAGUUUUAUAUUUUAUUUUAUUGAUUUUUUUGGUAUUAUUAAUUAUUUAUUAUUUAAUUUAUUUUGUUGGGGUGAUGGAAAAAUUUAAUUAACUUUUUUUUUUAUUUUCAUUUAUUUAUGAUUUUUUGAUCCGUUUCUCGAUUAUAAGAUUAAAUUACCUUAGGGAUAACAGCGUAAUUUUUCUUUAAAGUUCUUAUUGAAAGGAAAGUUUGCGACCUCGAUGUUGGAUUAAAAUUAAUUUUUGGUGUAGAAGCUAGGAUAUUAGGUCUGUUCGACCUUUGAAAUUUUACA
RNAcentral lists this ribosomal RNA (491 nucleotides) under Camenta sp. 835173. RNAcentral's name for it is "partial 16S large subunit ribosomal RNA". The stretch from base 365 to 491 matches the Rfam family "Bacterial large subunit ribosomal RNA", at positions 2473 to 2600 of the family's 2925-position model. Lineage: Eukaryota; Metazoa; Arthropoda; Insecta; Coleoptera; Scarabaeidae. The record is from RNAcentral.